Molecule: RNA transcript, 7762 nt
Organism: Hyla sarda
Lineage: Eukaryota; Metazoa; Chordata; Amphibia; Anura; Hylidae
Exons: 2
Source: RefSeq, a predicted model, not a curated record
AAUUUUCUAUAAAAAAAAAAAAAACCUGCUAGACAGUAAUGGACAUGAGUUCCCUCCCUCAAAGUCCCAUAAUUCCUUGCUUGUAAGUGUGAGGUCACUUUUCUCCCUCCCACACAUCAGCCACUCCACCCAUUGAAACACACACAUGUGCUCCAUCCAAUGCAAUAGAUCAGUGUUUUCUAACCAGGGUGCCUCCAGCUGUUGCAAACCUGCAAUUCUUGCAGAAUAAUCCCCCCUCACCCAGCUGUUGCUCCACUCAUCGAAACAAAGACAGGCUUUCUCUGAAGACGUGACUAGUGAUGUAAUCGGGCUGCACUGCAACCUUGGAAAACCUAAGAUGACAUGUCAUUUUGUAUGCUGUUAAAAAUAAAACAUUGGGGCAAAAGUCAUAGAAGAAUUGCAAGAUCACCAUGAAACAAAAGGUACAGACACUAUAUUAUGAACUACACUAACGUUACAGCCCCUGUAACAUAGUCAAAAAAUAAUAAUCCUGGAAUACCCCUGUGCUGCCUUCGCAAUGUAUUUUACAUGCUUGGCACUCAGCAGGGUCUGUUCCUUUAAGACCCUCCAUUUUCUUGAAGCCUAGAGGCGGGCCUUCUCUCUAAAACAUAGGGCUAGCUCCGGCAUGUCUCAUUCAUUCCAGCUCCAGCCACCACAGUGACCAGAUCCACAGGACUUCUUAAAGCUAAUACAGACUGCAAAUCUGAUAAAUACCAAAGCCUGUGAGUACGGAAUUGUUAGUUAACCUGUGCAGAGAGAUGCUCGGCAUUUGUAGAUAGAUAAUGUGUGUUUUCAGUGUGUAGUAAGUGAGCACAUGUUAGACUAUCUAUGUAUUAGCUAUGCAUAAUGUAAGGCACUUGAAUAGCCAUGCUUAUAUUUGUCUUUCAUAUGUUUGUUUUACAGUUUUACCGCACUUUCAUUAUAUCUCAGUAAAGAUUACAUCAGUUAAGCAAACCAGCGUGUCUUUCCUUGAGAUUCGGUAUAAACUUGAUGUGAAGCUGUGUCCACGAGACAGCGGAGACAUUAUAGUAAAAAGGCUUUUAAAACGUUAUCAGAAGCAGUUAAUCAGCUUUGAAUCGUCCGCAACAGUAAAAAAGAUUCAUAAAUCCUGUGCCCUGCAGUCUGUGUCGGAGUCAAGGCGCGAAGCACUAGAAAGUGAAACUAAUUCUCUCACGUGCUAUAACACCGCUGUGCUGUGUCCAGUCAUCAUCAUUAUCUAGCUGCCAGCUAAAUCAAGAUGCAGAACCCAGAGAACAGCACUCUGACAGUUAACCCUCAAUGCUCCUAUAAAGAGGAAGACACCUUGCCAAGAAGUAGAUCUAGGUGCACAACAUUGUCUAGAGCGUCCAGUCAAACAAAUCUAACUUCGGUUAGCGCCGAUGCAUCAAGAUUUAAACGCCAUAGUUCUAGACACUCAAGCACCACCAGCCUGUCAUCCGCUAGCGCCAUAGCAACUAAGGCAAGAGCGAAAGCAGAGGCAGCUUGUUCAAUGGCGUCCUAUGCAAAGCAGGAAGCUGAAUUGAUGAAAGAACAAGCAAAAAGUGAAUCUGAAGCACUUAGAAGAAAAGCUGAAUUGAUGAAAGAACAAGCAAAAAGUGAAUCUGAAGCACUUAGAAGAAAAGCUGAAUUGAUGAAAGAACAAGCUGAAGCACUUAGAAGAAAAGCUGAAGUGCAAGCAUCUUUACACUUACUGCAACAGCAGAAAAACGCUGCAGCAGCCUUAGCCGAGGCAGAAGUUCUCACAAGGGCUGCCGAAGCUCAGUUCGCUGACAUAGAAACCCAGAUGUCACCCCUCAGCGCAAGCCAACGUACCCGUGAGUACAUACAGUCACAAGCAACCAUGUACACUGACCAGCAGUUCAAUGACACACCAAGGCCAUCAUUGACUCCACCAGCAAUAAGCAACUUUGAUUCUACGCAACACUGCAAGACUGAAUCAGAACCUCAGGGUAGGAAGUCAAGUGGUCACAUCCUCAGAGACCAAUCUGCCAACCUGACAAGAGUGCAAACGGAUGCUGAUGUACUCCCUCCUCAAGCAAAUACAAGUCUGGAUUAUAGCAGAAAGACUUACAACAGAGGAGAAGAAAGCAGACUUAGUCAAGUACCUCAUCAGCCUUACCAGCCGCAGCCAUACCCUGAGUUUACACCUAGGAAGUAUUCACCAGAUGCAGCAAGAGCUACAGAGGUAGCAAGAUUCCUGAUGCGCCGUGAGAUAGUGAGCGCUGGUCUCAUGAAAUUCGACGACCGUCCAGAAAACUACUGGGCCUGGAAGUCAUCUUUCCUAAGCGGUACCCAAGACUUAGAUCUGACAGACAGAGAAAAGCUUGAUCUGCUCGUCAAAUGGCUAGGACCAGAGUCCACUGAGCAAGCCCAAAGAAUCAGAUCAGUACAUGUUCAUGAUGCAGCAGCAGGACUUGCAAUGGUGUGGAGGAGACUAGAACACUGCUAUGGGUCACCUGAAGUGAUUGAAGAUGCUCUUCUGAAGAGGAUAGAAAACUAUCCAAGAAUGACAAACAAAGACAAUCAAAAGCUGAGAGGGUUUGGGGACCUACUCUUAGAAAUAGAAGCCGCUAAGUCUAGUGGAUAUCUGCCAGGUCUCUCAUACUUAGAUACAGCACGUGGAGUUGAUCCCAUAAUCGAGAAACUUCCUUUCAACUUGCAGGAAAGGUGGGUCACUCAAGCAUCAAGAUACAAGAAAGAACAUCGAGUCGCAUUUCCACCAUUUGCCUUCCUUGCUGAAUUCAUCGUAGACCAAGCUGAAACACGCAAUGAUCCAAGCUUUGCUUUCCUGAACAAGAGAACUGCAAGCUCCCCAAAGGUAGAGCAAAAACAUCCAACGCCUUACAAAGAACGCAGAGCAACAGUUUCUGUACGGAAGACAGAAAUCUCGCCUGAGUCUGCAGUCAAUCAGGAAGACAGCGCAAGUAAGAAAGUUGAGGAGCCAGACAAAAUAUGUCUAAUCCACAACAAGCCACAUCCACUAAGAAAAUGUCGCAGUUUCAGAAGUAAGACGUUAGAAGAGCGCAAAGCUUACCUUAAAGACAAUCACAUUUGUUUCAGAUGUUGCGCUUCAAUUCAGCAUCUUGCAAAAGACUGUACAAAAACAAUAAAAUGCACAGAGUGCAACAGUGACAAACACCUGUCAGCACUGCACCCAGGACCACCACCAUGGAAACAAGAAGUUCCAGCAACUCAAGAAGAUCAUGGUGGGGAGCAAGGCGAGAGUACAACGCCAGCAGUAACCUCAAAGUGUACUGAGAUCUGUACAGAGCAGGGCCGCCCCAGAUCAUGUUCCAAAAUAUGCUUAGUCAAGGUGUAUCCUGCAGGCUUCAGAGAAAAAGCAAUCAAGAUGUACACAGUCUUGGAUGAACAGAGUAACAGAUCUCUGGCAAAAACAGAGUUCUUUGACCUCUUCGGUGACAAAGGAAGUCCAACUCCAUACACCCUGAAGACUUGUUCUGGAGUUGUAGAGACAACAGGGAGAAGAGCAAACAACUACAUCAUUGAGUCAUUAGAUGGAAAGACAAAGGUGACUCUUCCUACCCUCAUAGAAUGUGAUGAGAUACCAGACGACAGGUCAGAGAUCCCCACACCUGAAGUUGCUCGUCAUCACCCCCAUCUGGUGCGAAUAGCAGACCAGAUACCAGCACUAGAUCCAGAUGCUGCAAUCAUCCUUCUACUUGGGAGAGAUAUCCUCAAAGUGCACAAAGUCAGAGAACAGUACAAUGGGCCACACGAUGCACCAUUUGCACAACGCCUUGAUCUCGGAUGGGUCAUCGUUGGAGAAGUAUGUCUAGACGGACUCCACAAACCAGAAAAGGUGAAUGUCUACAGAACACAUCUGUUACAGAAUGGUCGUACAUCUUGUCUUUGCCCAUGUACCAACAGUCUACACAUUAAAGAGAGACUUGUUAACCCAACACAUCAUCGGAGUAUCCAGAGGUGCAUGGAAGACUUAGCCUCAACUGGAGAUACAGAUGAACUGGGCUGUAAGGUGUUUGAAAGAACACGAGAUGACGACAAGCUAGCACCCUCGGUGGAAGAUACUCUCUUCCUUGAGAUUAUGGACAGGGAAGUCUUCAGAGACAAAUCAGGCAGCUGGGUAGCCCCUCUACCCUUCCGGUCACCACGCCAUCGCCUUCCUGACAACAAAGUACAAGCAGAGAAACGCUUCACUUCGUUGCAGCACAUGCUACAAAGAAAGUCAAAUAUGAAGAAACACUUCCAAGCCUUCAUGCAGAAGAUCUUUGAUAACGAUCAAGCUGAAAGGGCACCACCACUACAAGAGAACCAAGAACACUGGUACUUACCAAUAUUUGGGGUGUACCAUCCUCAGAAACCAGGCCAGAUACGCGUAGUAUUUGACUCUAGUGCGAAGCACAAAGGCCUCUCACUAAAUGAUGUCCUUCUCAGCGGACCUGACCUGAACAAUACACUCCUUGGAGUACUCAUCAGGUUCAGAAAAGAACUCGUAGCAGUGACAGCAGACGUACAACAGAUGUUCUACUGUUUCCUUGUUCGUGAAGAUCACAGAGACUACUUAAGGUUCCUGUGGUAUGCAGACAAUGACUUUAACAAAGAAAUCACAGAGUACAGGAUGAAGGUACAUGUGUUUGGAAACAGCCCUUCUCCAGCUGUAGCUAUCUACAACCUGAGACGAGCAGCACAACAAGGUGAAAGACAUGGUCAAGAAGCCACACAGUUCGUCAUGAAGAACUUCUACGUAGAUGAUGGACUUGCUUCUUUCUCCAGCAACGAAGAAGCUAUCAACGUCCUGAAAAGUACAAGAGAAAUGUUGGCAGAAUCCAACAUAAGACUGAACAAGGUAGCUUCCAACAGCAACAGAGUCAUGGAAGCAUUUCCAAUGGAAGACCGUGCUAAAGACCUCAAAGACUUGGAUCUAGGAACAGAAUCACCACCCUUGCAAAGAAGUCUUGGGAUUAGUUGGGACCUGAAGACUGACAGUUUCACCUUCAGGGUCUCCAGAGAAGAGAAGCCAUUCACAAAAAGAGGUGUCCUAUCUACAGUCAACAGUCUUUACGACCCCCUGGGGUUCGUAGCACCCAUCAUCAUGCAAGGCAAAGCUCUUUUGAGACAGAUCACUACUGAGCAAGAACAAAGUGACUGGGACAUACCUCUACCUGAAGAGAAGGAAAUGCAGUGGAAGUUGUGGAAAGACUCAUUGUUAGAGCUUGAACAACUCAACAUCCCUAGACCAUACGUAUCUGUUUCCUUGUCUGCUACAAAGAGAAGAGAAAUAUGCAUAUUCUCUGACGCCUCCACUAUGGCUAUCGCAUCUGUCGCCUACCUUAGGGUAAUAGACACUGAGGGACAAAGCCAUGUCGGGUUCCUCAUGGGAAAAUCUAAGCUGGCUCCCAGACCGGCUCACACUGUCCCACGUCUAGAACUUUGUGCUGCUGUCUUAGCUGUAGAAAUGGCAGACAUGAUUACAACAGAACUGGACAUCGAGAUCCAUGCAAUGAACUUUUAUACAGACAGCAAGAUUGUGUUAGGAUAUAUUCACAAUGCUUCAAGAAGAUUUUAUACAUACGUGGCCAACAGAGUGACACGUAUCAGAAAGUCUACAAGUCCAGAACAGUGGCAUCACAUCAGCACAGACAAGAACCCAGCUGAUCAUGGGACAAGACUAGUGCCAGCCGCUGCGCUCAAGCAAACUAACUGGUUUGUAGAUCCAUCUUUUCUUCGUAAACCAGAAACCAAAGAAAAUACUCAGGUAGAGACCUUUCAGCUCAUAGAACCAGAUCAAGACAAAGAGGUAAGACCUCAAGUGACAGUUUGUAGGACUUUAGUUACAAGAGACAGUCUGGGCGCUCAUAGAUUUGAAAGGUUUUCCAGCUGGAAGUCGCUGACCCGUGCAAUCGGAAAACUUAUCUGUCUAGCCAGAUCCUCCUGCAGAGCUACCAAUACUGAUCAGCGUAGCAAUGACCACCUUGAACAAGCCAAGGUCACGAUCAUCAGAUGCGUCCAACAGGAAGUCUUUAAAGAAGAAAUCCAAGGCCUUCUGAAAAAGGAAGAGAUUUCUCAACACAAUUCACUCAAGGACUUGUACACCAAGCAAUGGAAACAAGUUCAAAGUCUUGCGGACAUUUUCUGGAAGAGGUGGAGACAGGAAUACCUUAUAAUAUUCCAGCCACGCAAGAAAUGGCAAGAUGACAAGCCCAAUUUACAAGUUGGAGACAUUGUCUUACUGAAAGACUCUCAGGCCCACAGGAACGAGUGGCCUAUUGGACUCAUUGUGGGGACUGAUCCUAGUAGUGAUGCUAGAGUUAGAAAGGUUGAAGUUAGGAUUGUUAGACAGGGCAUUCCCAAAGUGUAUGCAAGGCCAAUUUCUGAAGUAGUUUUACUCCUGUCCAAGGGUUAGUGGCAUAACAAAAAGUAUGCCAGGUGGGGAGUGUGCUGCCUUCGCAAUGUAUUUUACAUGCUUGGCACUCAGCAGGGUCUGUUCCUUUAAGACCCUCCAUUUUCUUGAAGCCUAGAGGCGGGCCUUCUCUCUAAAACAUAGGGCUAGCUCCGGCAUGUCUCAUUCAUUCCAGCUCCAGCCACCACAGUGACCAGAUCCACAGGACUUCUUAAAGCUAAUACAGACUGCAAAUCUGAUAAAUACCAAAGCCUUUUUACCGCACUUUCAUUAUAUCUCAGUAAAGAUUACAUCAGUUAAGCAAACCAGCGUGUCUUUCCUUGAGAUUCGGUAUAAACUUGAUGUGAAGCUGUGUCCACGAGACAGCGGAGACAUUAUAACCCCUUUAAACAUUGUAUGAAUUAAAACAUCUGCAAAUUUCUAAUAUUUUAGCAUUUCAAAUCCUCCCCGUUUUCAAGAACUUUGUUUGCUAUCAGUGAAUGAAAGCUUCCAUUAGUCAGGGAUUCUUUACGUACCAAGUUCUUUUCCAAGCUGAGAAGUGGAUAUAAAUAUAUGUACUCUAGUACCAUGAAGGCUUCCAAAAAAAAGGGGCUAUCCCAAGAUUAAAGGUCGUCCCCUUGUUCACAGGAUAAGAAAUAACUAGUUGAUGGGUGGGGGUGGGGGGGUCUAACUGGGAUUCCAACUGACCAUGAGAUCACAAGCCCCUUGUCUCCCCAAGUGUAAGGAGUGCAUAGCAUAGAGUCCAGAGCUUGGAAAUGUUCAGAAGACCCAGAGAGAAUGAAUGUGAUUUAGUGAGUGAUCAGCUGAUCCCAGCUAUUAGUUAGUUCUACCUGUGGAGAGGAUAUAACUUUUAAUCUUGGGAGCAGAACUUUAAGCUGUAAAGUCACAAUAUCGUUUCUCCUCACAAAAACUACCACAGUACAGUACUCCAAUAAAAGGCCAAUCACUACAGAGCCACAAUGCAAUGAUAAAAACUGCCCCAUACAUGUCACCUGUGUCCCUAUAAACAGUACGGACAAAUCUGUUUUUAGCAUGCCUAUAAAAAUAUACGCAUAAAUGCUACAGACAUAUACACACAAAAUGUACACUUUUUGGUCAUUAUAGGCAAUUACUUAAAGGGGUUAUCCAGGAAAAACUGGCUCCAGAAAGUUAAACAGAUUUGUAAAUUACUUCUAUUAAAAAAAAUCUUAAUCCUUUCAGUACUGAUGAGCUGCUGAAGUUGAGUUGUUCUUUUCUGUCUAAGUGCUCUCUGAUGACACGUGUCUCGGGAACCGCCCAGUUUAGAAGCAAAUCCCCAUAGCAAACCUCUUCUACUCUGUGCAGUUCCCGAGACAAGCAGAGAUGUCAGCAGAGAGCACUGUAGCCAGACAGAAAAGAACUCAA